RNAcentral lists this ribosomal RNA (497 nucleotides) under uncultured bacterium. RNAcentral describes it as "partial 16S ribosomal RNA". It matches the Rfam family "Bacterial small subunit ribosomal RNA", at positions 28 to 507 of the family's 1533-position model. The record is from RNAcentral.
GAUGAACGCUGGCGGCGUGCCUAAUACAUGCAAGUCGAGCGAACGGACGAGAAGCUUGCUUCUCUGAUGUUAGCGGCGGACGGGUAAGUAACACGUGGAUAACCUACCUAUAAGACUGGGAUAACUUCGGGAAACCGGAGCUAAUACCGGAUAAUAUUUUGAACCGCAUGGUUCAAAAGUGAAAGACGGUCUUGCUGUCACUUAUCGAUGGAUCCGCGCUGCAUUAGCUAGUUGGUAAGGUAACGGCUUACCAAGGCAACGAUGCAUAGCCGACCUGAGAGGGGGAUCGGCCACACUGGAACUGAGACACGGUCCAGACUCCUACGGGAGGCAGCAGUAGGGAAUCUUCCGCAAUGGGCGAAAGCCUGACGGAGCAACGCCGCGUGAGUGAUGAAGGUCUUCGGAUCGUAAAACUCUGUUAUUAGGGAAGAACAUAUGUGUAAGUAACUGUGCAGAUCUUGACGGUACCUAAUCAGAAAGCCACGGCUAACUACGUG